GAGCUGGGGCUCAGUGGUAGAGUGCUCACCUCACCCGUAUGAGGCACUGGGUUCGAUCCUCAGCACCACA
RNAcentral lists this transfer RNA (70 nucleotides) under Marmota monax (woodchuck). Its description in RNAcentral is "tRNA.Val". The record is from RNAcentral. Lineage: Eukaryota; Metazoa; Chordata; Mammalia; Rodentia; Sciuridae.